UACGUAGGUGGCAAGCGUUGUCCGGAAUUAUUGGGCGUAAAGAGCGCGCAGGCGGUCGUCCAAGUCGCGUGUGAAAGCCCCCGGCUCAACUGGGGAGGGUCACGCGAUACUGGUCGACUCGAAGGCAGGAGAGGGUAGUGGAAUUCCCGGUGUAGUGGUGAAAUGCGUAGAUAUCUGGAGGAACACCGGUGGCGAAGGCGGCAUCCUGGACCAACACUGACGCUGAGGAGCGAAAGCCAGGGGAGCAAACGGG
Molecule: ribosomal RNA, 253 nt
Filed under: uncultured bacterium
Lineage: Bacteria
Description: partial 16S ribosomal RNA
Rfam family: Bacterial small subunit ribosomal RNA
Source: RNAcentral